CCUACGGGUGGCAGCAGUGAGGAAUAUUGGUCAAUGGGCGGGAGCCUGAACCAGCCAAGCCGCGUGAAGGAAGAAGGCGCCAGGCGUCGUAAACUUCUUUUGUCGGGGAACAAAGGGCGCCACGUGUGGCGUUGUGAGUGUACCCGAAGAAAAAGCCUCGGCUAACUCCGUGCCAGCAGCCGCGGUCAUACGGGGGAGGAGAUCGUUAUCCGGAUUUAUUGGGGUUAAAGGGUGCGUAGGCGGUCCGGAAAGUUAGCGGUAAAAGCCCGGGGCUACACCGCGGGGGGCCGUUGAAACGGACGGACUAGAGAGGGCGAGAAGUACGCGGAAGGCGGGGGGUAGCGGUGAAAUGCAUAGAUA
RNAcentral lists this ribosomal RNA (360 nucleotides) under uncultured bacterium. RNAcentral's name for it is "partial 16S ribosomal RNA". It matches the Rfam family "Bacterial small subunit ribosomal RNA", at positions 338 to 696 of the family's 1533-position model. The record is from RNAcentral.